GGAGGGGUGCCGGAGCGGUCAAUCGGAGCAGACUGUAAAUCUGCCGCCCAUGCGGGCUACGUAGGUUCGAAUCCUACUCCCUCCA
This 85-nucleotide transfer RNA is filed under the name Dehalococcoidia bacterium. RNAcentral describes it as "tRNA-Tyr". It matches the Rfam family "tRNA". From Rfam's summary of the family: Transfer RNA (tRNA) molecules are approximately 80 nucleotides in length. Their secondary structure includes four short double-helical elements and three loops (D, anti-codon, and T loops). Further hydrogen bonds mediate the characteristic L-shaped molecular structure. tRNAs have two regions of fundamental functional importance: the anti-codon, which is responsible for specific mRNA codon recognition, and the 3' end, to which the tRNAs corresponding amino acid is attached (by aminoacyl-tRNA synthetases). tRNAs cope with the degeneracy of the genetic code in two manners: having more than one tRNA (with a specific anti-codon) for a particular amino acid; and 'wobble' base-pairing, i.e. permitting non-standard base-pairing at the 3rd anti-codon position. Lineage: Bacteria; Bacillati; Chloroflexota; Dehalococcoidia. The record is from RNAcentral.